This 251-nucleotide ribosomal RNA is filed under the name uncultured prokaryote. RNAcentral's name for it is "partial 16S rRNA". It matches the Rfam family "Bacterial small subunit ribosomal RNA", at positions 525 to 775 of the family's 1533-position model. The record is from RNAcentral.
ACGGAGGAUGCAAGCGUUAUCCGGAUUUAUUGGGUUUAAAGGGUGCGCAGGCGGAUUAAUAAGUCAGGGGUGAAAUCCUUCGGCUCAACUGGAGUACUGCCUUUGAUACUGUCGGGCUUGAGUAUAAUUGACGUGGGUGGAAUGUGAGGUGUAGCGGUGAAAUGCUUAGAUAUGUCACAGAACGCCGAUGGCGAAGGCAGCUCACUAAAUUAUUACUGACGCUCAGGCACGAAAGCGUGGGGAUCAAACAG